Manacus vitellinus (golden-collared manakin) is the source of this 424-nucleotide RNA transcript. RefSeq lists it as uncharacterized. The transcript is spliced from 2 exons. The record is from RefSeq and is a predicted model, not a curated record. NCBI's taxonomy places the organism in Eukaryota, Metazoa, Chordata, Aves, Passeriformes, Pipridae.
UGCCUCUGGGAUUGCAGGAACCUCCUGGUGAACCUGGGGCUGUUUGCUGCCGGGGUCUGGGUCGCCCGGAACCUGACGGACAUCGACCUGAUGGCCCCGCAGCCCGUCCCGUAGGGCCGGAAUUCCUGGAGCUGCAGGGAGCAGAGCUCACCCUCCCAGCAGGACCGGAGCCGUGUUGGGCCGCGACGGGUUCGCUGCAUUCCUGGAAGGACGUCGUCGUUCUCCUCCCCUGCAGAGCUGCUGCUCCCAGUCCCUCCUGUCCUGCUCCAGGCAGUGACAAGAGGGAAAGAUUUAAGGCUGAGAGGAAGAAUUUGUUUCCAGUUCAUUCCUCAAGGCACAACAAGAAUGGUUUUCUCAAGGAUGGUUGUGGAAUUUCCUUCUGUACCCCCCCCAGAUGUUUAUUAAAGUCUAUGGAAUAACGACA